CGGCUGCUGCUACUCAACCUAAGAUUAUAUUGCAUACACCCAAGGAAUGGCGAUUGAGUUUAGAUCUAUGGCGUUGAAGAAGGAAACGAGGAUGCAAGGUAUGUUUGGGCAGC
Long non-coding RNA from Erigeron canadensis, 113 nucleotides. RefSeq lists it as uncharacterized. The record is from RefSeq and is a predicted model, not a curated record. The transcript is spliced from 3 exons. NCBI's taxonomy places the organism in Eukaryota, Viridiplantae, Streptophyta, Magnoliopsida, Asterales, Asteraceae.